RNAcentral lists this ribosomal RNA (497 nucleotides) under uncultured bacterium. Its description in RNAcentral is "partial 16S ribosomal RNA". It matches the Rfam family "Bacterial small subunit ribosomal RNA", at positions 28 to 507 of the family's 1533-position model. The record is from RNAcentral.
GAUGAACGCUGGCGGCGUGCCUAAUACAUGCAAGUCGAGCGAACAGACGAGGAGCUUGCUCCUCUGACGUUAGCGGCGGACGGGUGAGUAACACGUGGAUAACCUACCUAUAAGACUGGGAUAACUUCGGGAAACCGGAGCUAAUACCGGAUAAUAUAUUGAACCGCAUGGUUCAAUAGUGAAAGACGGUUUUGCUGUCACUUAUAGAUGGAUCCGCGCCGCAUUAGCUAGUUGGUAAGGUAACGGCUUACCAAGGCAACGAUGCGUAGCCGACCUGAGAGGGGGAUCGGCCACACUGGAACUGAGACACGGUCCAGACUGCGACGGGAGGCAGCAGUAGGGAAUCUUGCGCAAUAGGAGAAAGCAUGACGGAGCAACGCCGCGUGAGUGAUGAAGGUCUUCGGAUCGUAAAACUCUGUUAUUAGGGAAGAAGAAAUGUGUAAGUAACUAUGCACGUCUUGACGGUACCUAAUCAGAAAGCCACGGCUAACUACGUG